RNAcentral lists this ribosomal RNA (424 nucleotides) under uncultured bacterium. Its description in RNAcentral is "partial 16S ribosomal RNA". It matches the Rfam family "Bacterial small subunit ribosomal RNA", at positions 360 to 776 of the family's 1533-position model. The record is from RNAcentral.
AAUAUUGGACAAGGGGCGAAAGCCUGAUCCAGCCAUGCCGCGUUUGUGAAGAAGGUCUUCUGUUUGUAAAGCACUUUAAGUUGAGAGGAAUGGGCUGAAGCUAAUACCUUCAAUCUUUGACGUUACCAACAGAAUAAGCACCUGCUAACUCUGUGCCAGCAGCCGCGGUAAUACAGCUGGUGCAAGCGGUAAUCGGAAUUACUGGGCGUAAAGCGGGAGUAGGUGGUUACGUAAGAUGGAAGUGAAAUCACCGGGCUUAACCUGGGAACUGCUUUCAUAACUGCUGAGCUAGAGUACGGUAGAGGGUAGUGGAAUUUCCUGUGUAGCGGUGAAAUGCGUAGAUAUAGGAAGGAACACCAGUGGCGAAGGCGACUACCUGGACUGAUACUGACACUGAGGUGCGAAAGCGUGGGGAGCAAACAGG